UACAGAGGUCCCAAGCGUUGUUCGGAUUCACUGGGCGUAAAGGGUGCGUAGGUGGCCGGGUAAGUUCGGUGUGAAAGCUCGGAGCUUAACUCCGAAAUGGCAUUGAAUACUAUCCGGCUUGAGGUUCGGAGGGGAGACUGGAAUUCUCGGUGUAGCAGUGAAAUGCGUAGAUAUCGAGAGGAACACCAGUGGCGAAGGCGAGUCUCUGGACGAAUCCUGACACUGAGGCACGAAAGCUAGGGGAGCAAACAGG
RNAcentral lists this ribosomal RNA (253 nucleotides) under uncultured bacterium. Its description in RNAcentral is "partial 16S ribosomal RNA". It matches the Rfam family "Bacterial small subunit ribosomal RNA", at positions 524 to 776 of the family's 1533-position model. The record is from RNAcentral.